RNAcentral lists this ribosomal RNA (477 nucleotides) under Triticum aestivum (bread wheat). RNAcentral's name for it is "partial small subunit ribosomal RNA". Lineage: Eukaryota; Viridiplantae; Streptophyta; Magnoliopsida; Poales; Poaceae. The record is from RNAcentral.
AUGGAGUACUCGCCGAAACUAGCAGUACUGGUGCUCUUAGCUCUCGCGUCCGCCAUGGCGGUCACGGCCCAGAACUUGGAGCAGGACUUCGUGGACGCCCACAACGCGGCGCGCGCCGACGUGGGCCUUGCCUUCGCGCAGGACUACGCCGAUCAGCGCCGCGGCGACUGCCAGCUGAUCCAUACUCCUGAUGGCCGGCCGUACGGGGAGAACCUCUACGGAGGCGGCGGCGGUGGGACCGAGUGGACGGCGACGGACGCCGUGAAUUCGUGGGUGUCGGAGAAGCAGUACUACGACCACGACAGCAACACCUGCUCGGCGCCGGAGGGUGAGUCGUGCGGGCACUACACGCAGGUGGUGUGGCGCGACUCGACGGGUAUCGGCUGCGCCCGCGUCGUCUGCGACAGCGGCGACGGUGUGUUCAUCAUCUGCAGCUACAACCCGCCAGGCAACUUCCCCGGGGUGAGCCCGUACUAG